GACGAACGCUGGCGGCGUGCUUAACACAUGCAAGUCGAGCGGUAAGGCCCUUUCGGGGGUACACGAGCGGCGAACGGGUGAGUAACACGUGGGUGACCUGCCCUCAGCUCUGGGAUAAGCCUGGGAAACUGGGUCUAAUACUGGAUAUGACUCCACGGUGCAUGUCGUGGGGUGAAAGCCUUGUGCGGCUGAGGAUGGGCCCGCGGCCUAUCAGCUUGUUGGGGGGUGA
Molecule: ribosomal RNA, 229 nt
Filed under: uncultured bacterium
Lineage: Bacteria
Description: partial 16S ribosomal RNA
Rfam family: Bacterial small subunit ribosomal RNA
Source: RNAcentral